RNAcentral lists this ribosomal RNA (4131 nucleotides) under Triticum aestivum (bread wheat). RNAcentral describes it as "partial small subunit ribosomal RNA". The record is from RNAcentral. Lineage: Eukaryota; Viridiplantae; Streptophyta; Magnoliopsida; Poales; Poaceae.
AUGUUAUAUUUGCAACCUACGAAGAAAUACGACAGGCAGAAGGUACAAACAACUUCGGCCGAGAAGAAGGCCCGUAAGAAACAACAAAGUGAUAAAGCUGUGGAGGAUGAUUCUCGUUCUCAGUGCACACCUAAUGGGCAGAAGAAACUGCUUUCCCCCAAAAUGGACAGCCAUUUCCAUCCAAGUUUGGUUGAGCAGUCAUGGUAUUCCUGGUGGGAAUCAGCGCAUUACUUUGGGGCAGAUUCUACAUGCACAAAGCCACCAUUUGUUAUGGUUCUGUCCCCCCAAGAUGUGGAAGGAGACCUUAGCCAUGCAUAUACAGUGGCUAUACAAGAUGCCAUGAUACGUUGGCGUAGAAUGUCAGGCUACAAUGCUUUAUUGGUCCCUGGAGUGGGCCAUGCUGACAUGCCUACUGAGGUAUGCCAAUCGAAAGCUCGGUGUGAUAGAAAUAUGAACCUGCGCCGUCUUGGAGUCUCAGUUGAUUGGUCACGCGAGGUUCUUACAAUGGAUGAGAAAAGAUCAAAAGCCGUAACUGAAGCUUUUGUCAGCUUCCACAAGGCAGGCCUGAUACGUAGGGAUUGUCGCCUUGUGAAAAAUGAUUGCACACCUGAAACUACAAGUUCUGACACUAAGGGGUUGUACAAGGACAUGCUGAAGAAUGAAAUGAGUUUAGGCGUUCACUCAGGAACUAAUGAUGUAGUGGAACCUAUGCUAAAAUCACAGUGGUUUCUUAAUGGCAACACCAUGGCCAAGGCAGCACAUGACGCUCUAAAGUCUAAACAAGUCGAAAUUAUUCCCCAGCACUAUGAAGAGCACUGGCACAACAGAGAAAAUAUAAAUGAUUGGUGUGUUUCAAGGCAACUUCCAUGGGGACAUCGUGUACCUGCGUGGUACGUGACAUUAGAAGAUGACCAUGAUAGAAGUAUUGGUUAUUGUGAUAAUCGCUGGGUAGUUGCAAGAAGCGAGAAGGAUGCAAAUCUGGAGGCACAAAAAAAAUAUCCAGGAAAGAAAUUCCAACUUGAUCAAGACCCUGAUGUUCUAGACACAUGGUUUUUGUCUAGCCUCAUCCCCUUAAUGGUAUGUGGUUGGCCGGCUGAUAUGGCUGACUUCAGGGACUUGUACCCUACGUCUGUGUUGGUAACUGGAUACGAUACUCCCUCUCUUUGGGUAGAACGGACAGUGAUGAUGGGGAUGCAACUGGUUGGGAAUGUGCCCUUUCAGAAGUCGGAAUCGCUUGGCAGCAACAUCAGUCUUCUUGAGGUGAUGACAAAUGGCAUGUCGCUUGAAAAAAUUCAGAAACAUGUGGAAGAUGGCGACAUGAACCUAAAUGAAUUAAACAUUAGAAAAGAAAUGCUGGAGAAGGACUUACCUGAUGGUAUACCUGAAUGUGGUAUCGACGCGGUCUGCUUUGCACUGAUUUCAUGCAGUUCACAGGUUGAAAGGGUAAAUUUCGAUAUCAGAAGAGUGAUCAGAUUCAGAGAAGGUUGCAGUAAAUUGUGGAAAGCCUUCCGUUUUGCACUGGAGAAACUUGGGGACCAGUAUGUUCCACCUACAACGGUAGAUGUGUCUAUCUUACCGCCAAUUUGCAAAUGGAUUCUUUCAGUUCUAAACAAAACGAUAGUGAAGACUGUUACCUGUUUAGAAGUUCACAAGUUCUCUGAUGCCAGUUCUGCUGUAUACUCAUGGUGGCAACACCAAAUGCGCAUUGUAUUUAUAGAGUCAAUAAAAUGUUAUUUCGCUGAUAGAACUCAGAGCUUUGAAUGUGAAAGGGCUGCCAUUAGGGAUACCCUAUGGAUUUGCUUGGACAGUGGUUUGCGCUUGCUCCAUCCAUUCAUGCCUUAUAUUACAGAAGAGCUCUGGCAGCGUCUUCCACAGCCGAAAGGUUCUUCUAGGAAAGAUUCCAUCAUGAUUUCGGAAUAUCCAUCUCAUGUGAAGGAGUGGACAGAUGAUGAACUUGAAAAAGAUAUCAGCAUUGUCUUGGAUGUUGUGCAAAAAAUAAAGCUUCUGAAGUUACCAACAGAUACAAAUGAAAGACGAACUGCUUUUGCACUUUGCCAAGGGGAAGGGCCUGCUUACACCUUGCAAUGCCAUCAAUCUUUAAUUCUGUCCCUAUGUUCUGUAUCACAUUUUAAGAUUCUGAGAGAGAAUGAUCAAUCUCCAGUUCAGUGUGUAACUGCUGCUGUAAACGAAGAGAUCACUGUGUACGUUCAAAAUGCAGAUGCUCGGCACGAAAAGCUAGGAGAAAUGGAGUGUGUGCUUCAAUAUCGACAUGCCUACGAGGAGACACAUCCAGACAUUGAGCUAGAAAUUGCCUCUCCAUAUCCGCCAGAUGAUGGAUGUCUAAUUGAAAGAAUAUUCCUCACCUUCCUAAGAGGGUAUCUAGUGAACAAGCAAAAGUAUUAUGUGCUCAUAUCGGAAGCGUUAAAGAUGAUGAAUUCUGGUGAUAUGCCCAUUGUUUAUUCUCACGUGCUACAGUUUGACGCGAGACUUGCAUCCACAAUCAAGUUCUUUUUUGGCAGGGUGCAAAAAAACCUUAUUAAUGCGGCAACUAUCUUCCUGAAAGAGGAUGUUGACUACAAAUGUGAAAACCUGUCCAUCACCAUUUCCAACAUACCCAGGCCGUGCAGCUUAUUGUCACUCAAGGAUUUUUGGAAGUCAUCUGAGCAUAAACCAGCAGUAGAACGUGAUAUCUACAGUGCCGAAACUUGCUUAAGACUAACGACAACAACACCGUCUGGAAGGAUUCCCCUUCUAAAUCUUCUUAAGAAGAUUUGUAGCAACUUUGAGAGAGGAAAAAGCUGGAACGGUCAGUGGAACAUUGAGGAUGUCAUAGUUUAUGUCGUGACGUAUCAGGUGGAUAUACUGAAGCCUUUCUCUAGUAAAUGUAAUCAUAGUACCUUGGCAAAGGAUCUUAUGGUGGUUAUCAAGGAUAUUAUUCCAGAGUUCAGAUGUGGUGGGAAUUAUCCUUCCUUUUUCGGGAAGUUAAUCGGUACUUUACAGGAGUACCUUGCUGAUCCUUCUAUCAGUGGUAUUCGCUGGAAUGAGUUUAACUAUGUAUUAUUCACCCAUUUUGCAAUCAAAUCGCCUCUGGCAUGGUCUACAUUUUUGGAUGAUCUUCAUGAAGUAUUCCAGUCCUUGGGGGAUAGAGCAAGGGGGCUUUUGCAGCAUUUGUUGUCAAAAACAGAGCGUAUGAAAGACUGGAGGUUCGUUUUUGAGCCAUCGGAAGCGGUACAUCCUGUUCUGGCAAUAGUAUAUGAGCAUAAUCGGAAAAAGAAGGAGAAGAUCUCCAGAGAAAGGGAAGGUGCAAUUGAGGAUGAUCGAAAUACGAGUUUUGUAAAUGAGGAUGACAGUGAUGUGGGGCAGACCGAUCUACAAGCCUCGCAAGCCCUGGUUGAAGGAGUUCAAGCUGGUGAUGAAGAGAAAGAAAUUCUGUAUAAAGUGGUGGCUCAAACCCAUGAGGCAUGGCAGAUCCAUCUGCAAGAAGAGUUGCAAGCUCUUAUUCCAGGAGCGCAAACCAAUGAGGAUCUGGAUGAAACGGUGGUUCAAACUCUGGCCAUACGUGUUGUAGAAGUACUAGUGAAGGAAGCUCACGAUGCCGGUAUUAUCGAGGACAAAGAUGCUCAUGUAGAAGUACCGGUCCCAGCUGAACCCAAUGCUCCAGAAGUACCGGUCCCAGCUGAACCCAAUGCUCCAGAAGUACCGGCCCCAACUGAACCCAAAGGGGCUAAGGAAGCAAACAUUUUACAGGAAGACAGUCAUUCUUCAGAAGUACCGGUCCCAGCUGAACCGAAUGCUCCCAAGGGCGAUAAAAAAAUAUUUCCUUUCCCUGAAUCCCCUUUAGGGUUAUUGAUUUGUUCGAGGCAUACCAAGCAACACGGAUCCAUAGGAGCUAGAGAUAAAAAAGGAAGACAAUUAUUAAAAACGAUAUCAGAAGUUGUGUUGAUAAUCGGUCAUUAUUUGGAAGACUUGGCUGAAAUACCAAAAGCGUUGAUAUAUAACCUCGACCGAUUCAAGAAAGACGUGAUAGAUAAUCCCAACAUAAACGGGUUCAAUGCUGAUGACUUCGAAGAAUUCAUAUUGAUGUUUACGGAGAUUCUUGAGCAGUUAGAUACUCCUGAAGUUAGUAAAUAA